RNAcentral lists this non-coding RNA (30 nucleotides) under Rattus norvegicus (Norway rat). Lineage: Eukaryota; Metazoa; Chordata; Mammalia; Rodentia; Muridae. The record is from RNAcentral.
UGGGAAGUAAACAUUCAGACAGAUGAGCCU